UGUAGGCAUGAGGCAGGGCCCAGG
This 24-nucleotide microRNA is filed under the name Homo sapiens (human). RNAcentral's name for it is "hsa-miR-6806-5p". The record is from miRBase by way of RNAcentral. Lineage: Eukaryota; Metazoa; Chordata; Mammalia; Primates; Hominidae.